GACGAACGCUGGCGGCGUGCUUAACACAUGCAAGUCGAACGGUGAAGCGCCUUCCUUUUUGGUGGGUGUGGAUGAGUGGCGAACGGGUGAGUAACACGUGAGUAACCUGCCCCCUUCUUCUGGAUAACCGCAUGAAAGUGUGGCUAAUACGGGAUAUUCUGGGUCUGUCGCAUGAUGGGUCUGGGAAAGAUAUUGUUUCGGUUGGGGAUGGGCUCGCGGCCUAUCGGCUUGUUGGUGGGGUGAUGGCCUACCAAGGCGGUGACGGGUAGCCGGCCUGGGGGGGUGGACGGUCACACUGGGAGUGAGACACGGACAAGACUCCUACGGGAGGCAGCAGGGGGGAAUAUUGCACAAUGGGAGCAAGCCUGAUGCAGCGACGCCGCGUGAGGGAUGGAGGCCUUCGGGUUGUGAACCUCUUUCGCCAGUGAAGCAGGCCUGCCUCGUUUGUGGGUGGGUUGACGGUAGCUGGAGAAGAAGCGCCGGCUAACUACGUG
Molecule: ribosomal RNA, 494 nt
Filed under: uncultured bacterium
Lineage: Bacteria
Description: partial 16S ribosomal RNA
Rfam family: Bacterial small subunit ribosomal RNA
Source: RNAcentral